This 497-nucleotide ribosomal RNA is filed under the name uncultured bacterium. Its description in RNAcentral is "partial 16S ribosomal RNA". It matches the Rfam family "Bacterial small subunit ribosomal RNA", at positions 28 to 507 of the family's 1533-position model. The record is from RNAcentral.
GAUGAACGCUGGCGGCGUGCCUAAUACAUGCAAGUCGAGCGAACGGACGAGAAGCUUGCUCUUCUGAUGUUAGCGGCGGACGGGUGAGUAACACGUGGAUAACCUACCUAUAAGACUGGGAUAACUUCGGGAAACCGGAGCUAAUACCGGAUAAUAUUUUGAACCGCAUGGUUCAAUAGUGAAAGACGGUUUUGCUGUCACUUAUAGAUGGAUCCGCGCUGCAUUAGCUAGUUGGUAAGGUAACGGCUUACCAAGGCAACGAUGCGUAGCCGACCUGAGAGGGUGAUCGGCCACACUGGAACUGAGACACGGUCCAGACUCCUACGGGAGGCAGCAGUAGGGAAUCUUCCGCAAUGGGCGAAAGCCUGACGGAGCAACGCCGCGUGAGUGAUGAAGGUCUUCGGAUCGUAAAACUCUGUUAUUAGGGAAGAACAAAUGUGUAAGUAACUGUGCACAUCUUGACGGUACCUAAUCAGAAAGCCACGGCUAACUACGUG